AUGGCCGUCAUGUCCUUCAUGAAGAUCGGCGGCCGGCUUGGGCAGGCCGGGUCUGACCUCGGCGCCCCCGUCGGCGGCGCCGUGCAGCAGCUGUCGUGGCAGCUUCCCGCGCCGUUCCGCGCACGGCGCCGGAAGUGGGAGGGGGCCGCCACGUCGCCGACGCCCGCGGCGGCGGUGGACGAGGGGGAAGCGGGGCUCUCCGCGGAGAGGGCUGCCGAGGGCGGGGUAGCCUUGGAGGGCGUCGGGGAAGGAGGCUCGGGUCGGAUCGGGUCGGUCUCUGAUUCAAAACUACCUUAUAUAAGGGCUUGCCUAUUGUAG
This 318-nucleotide ribosomal RNA is filed under the name Triticum aestivum (bread wheat). Its description in RNAcentral is "partial small subunit ribosomal RNA". The record is from RNAcentral. Lineage: Eukaryota; Viridiplantae; Streptophyta; Magnoliopsida; Poales; Poaceae.